CGCGAAGAACCUUACCAGGUCUUGACAUCCCUCUGAAGUAGCCUUAGCCGGCUAUGUCCUUCGGGACAGGGGAGACAGGUGGUGCAUGGUUGUCGUCAGCUCGUGUCGUGAGAUGUUGGGUUAAGUCCCGCAACGAGCGCAACCCUUGUGUUUAGUUGCCAACAGGUAAGGCUGUGCACUCUAAACAGACUGCCGUGGAUAACACGGAGGAAGGUGGGGAUGACGUCAAAUCAUCAUGCCCCUUAUGAUCUGGGCUACACACGUGCUACAAUGGUCGGUACAACGGGCAGCGAAAGGGUAAUCUGGAGCGAAUCCUAAAAAGCCGAUCCCAGUUCGGAUUGUGGGCUGAAACUCGCCCACAUGAAGUUGGAGUUGCUAGUAAUCGCGAAUCAGAAUGUCGCGGUGAAUGCGUUCCCGGGCCUUGUACACACCG
This 433-nucleotide ribosomal RNA is filed under the name uncultured bacterium. RNAcentral describes it as "bacterial SSU rRNA". It matches the Rfam family "Bacterial small subunit ribosomal RNA", at positions 960 to 1392 of the family's 1533-position model. The record is from RNAcentral.